GAUGGGCAACAUAACCAGCUGGUGGAGGUUGUUUUUCCUUGGAACAUCUGUGUUAGAGGAGGAAGCUGUAAAAACCAGGAUCAGACGUUUAAUGGUUAAAAUCCAUUCCAUUUGGGUGAUGUCUCAGGAAUAUCAGAUGGUUGUUACCCCUGACCCGAGGACGGUUUAGGGCUGUAAAGCACAAACUGUUUUAAGUCUAACGAACCUGUUGUUGGACCACAUGUGCUGAAUAUUGGACCAUUUGCACGUUGCUGGACGCUACCAGGCCGUUUGGCGUCAUCGGCCAUUUUGUAUCCCAGGAUAGCCUGCUACUACGAAUCCCAGCGGCCACCGCGGCUGACAUGACGGGGCGUCCCAAGUCUGACGUCGCGGGAAAGCAUAAAUGAAGGUGGCCCCUUUAAAGCUUUGCUUUUCACGCUGGAAACCAGACCAGUAACUGAAGCGCAUCUCUGGAAAAGAAGAGGUCCCACGUGGAUUCUUCAUUUAUUCUCCUUCCUUGGCCAACGAAAAAUUCAUGAAAGAGGUUUCUGGAAUGAGAAGGCCAUAAAUUUCACUUUGCCGAUUGAAGACGUGAGUUUAACACAUAACCAAAAACCACGGAGUUUCAAGGAGAUGCAACUUUCCCUCCUUGUUUUGUACUAGUCGACUGCUGACGGUCAGAUAAUAUUUUUCCUUUUCGCCAAGGAGGCCAAAAGACAGAGAUUGACCACUUUCUUGGAGUAUCCGCGGACGCGUGGAACUCUUCAAGCCCCUUUUUUUCUCUCACUCGCUGCCCCAGAAGGAAGACUUCAAUGAGUAAAAUCCACCUUUCAAUUAUAUUUCUUUAUUAAGAAUAGUGUGGACAGGGUAGAGUAGGUUUUAGUGCGAUGUAGAAUCGCCACUUAUAGUCUAAUGUGUUCUGAAUUGUAUGUGCAUGCCAUUGUUCUUUUGAAACGUGAUUACUGUUGUUUUCUGAGGCCGCCGAGUCUCGCAAGA
This is a long non-coding RNA of Girardinichthys multiradiatus, 975 nucleotides long. RefSeq lists it as uncharacterized. The transcript is spliced from 3 exons. The record is from RefSeq and is a predicted model, not a curated record. NCBI's taxonomy places the organism in Eukaryota, Metazoa, Chordata, Actinopteri, Cyprinodontiformes, Goodeidae.